CUUGACAUCCCGAUCGCACUCUCUGGAAACAGGGAGGUCAGUUCGGCUGGAUCGGUGACAGGUGCUGCAUGGCUGUCGUCAGCUCGUGUCGUGAGAUGUUGGGUUAAGUCCCGCAACGAGCGCAACCCUCGUCCUUAGUUGCCAGCAUUCGAGUUGGGCACUCUAAGGAGACUGCCGGUGUUAAACCGGAGGAAGGCGGGGAUGACGUCAAGUCCUCAUGGCCCUUAUGUCCAGGGCUACACACGUGCUACAAUGGCCGGUACAAAGGGUAGCAAGACCGCGAGGUGGAGCCAAUCCCAAAAAAGCCGGUCUCAGUUCGGAUUGGAGUCUGCAACUCGACUCCAUGAAGUUGGAAUCGCUAGUAAUCGUGGAUCAGCAUGCCACGGUGAAUACGUUCCCGGGCCUU
RNAcentral lists this ribosomal RNA (406 nucleotides) under uncultured Desulfuromonas sp. RNAcentral describes it as "bacterial SSU rRNA". It matches the Rfam family "Bacterial small subunit ribosomal RNA", at positions 980 to 1382 of the family's 1533-position model. The record is from RNAcentral. Lineage: Bacteria; Pseudomonadati; Thermodesulfobacteriota; Desulfuromonadia; Desulfuromonadales; Desulfuromonadaceae.